CACACCAUAGAACUAAUGGCCUUAGUCUAUUACCUGUCAGAACCCUUUAGAACAACGUUGUAUUCGGGCUAAAAUCUAUCCAUUUAGCUAAAUUCAUUCUCUUCUUCACCGUUAAUUUGUAUUUAACUACAUUCAACUGGUGGCUUUAACUACUUGGAACAGAACUUGUGCGUGACAGCAGCUUAUCGACCUGUUAGAGAGUUGAUUCAGCAGGAGAGGUUGAAGGAUAUGGAAACGAGGAGGAGAGAAGAAUCUGGCCAGAGUUCGGAAGAUUCUUCUGAGAAAAAAGAAGAGAAUGAGGAAAGAGUAAUAAUUACUUUGGGGCCUUUAAACAUGGAAGAUAUGAGACAACCGAAGAAGCAGGUUGCCGCCAGCUUUGCUUCUGAAGGAUCAGUAAUGAGCGAGCUGAAGCAAUGGUACGAGUUGUAUGGAG
This is a long non-coding RNA of Gossypium arboreum, 433 nucleotides long. RefSeq lists it as uncharacterized. NCBI's taxonomy places the organism in Eukaryota, Viridiplantae, Streptophyta, Magnoliopsida, Malvales, Malvaceae. The record is from RefSeq and is a predicted model, not a curated record. The transcript has 3 exons.